Molecule: unclassified non-coding RNA, 512 nt
Filed under: Hevea brasiliensis (rubber tree)
Lineage: Eukaryota; Viridiplantae; Streptophyta; Magnoliopsida; Malpighiales; Euphorbiaceae
Source: RNAcentral
UUUUUUUUUUUUUUUUUUAUAAUAUUUUUUUUUUUUAAUUAUGAAAUAUGUAAUUUUUUUAAAUUUUUUGGAUUAGAAAACCAUUUUCUAUUAUUGACAGGUGAACGCGUUUUUUAUGUUUUCCCUUGUUUUCCUUAGAAGAUGAAAACUAAAGUUUUCUUAGAAAUUAGAAACUGAAAAAUAGAGAAUUAUUUUCCAUAAGUAAACAGGCUCUUAGAUUUCUGUUAUUUAGGAAUUCUAUUAUAAUUAUUUGGGAAUAUUAGGUUUGGGAUGAAUUAGUGGUGGAAGGAGUGAGAAUGGAAAGGGAAAGAUUUGUAAUGGUAUGGAGGGAAUUAGUAUCCAAAGAUUUACAAUUUUUAGAUAUUAAUGUAGAAUUAAUUUUAAACAGAGUUGAAUGGUGAAAAAAGAUCUAUAUGGUCAACUCCAACUAGAUUAGGAUUGAGGUUUAGUUGUGGUUAUUGUUGUACUAAGCUUAUUAUUUUCCUAGCUUGAGUUUGUUUAGUAUUCCUAAU